RNAcentral lists this ribosomal RNA (458 nucleotides) under uncultured bacterium. RNAcentral's name for it is "partial 16S ribosomal RNA". It matches the Rfam family "Bacterial small subunit ribosomal RNA", at positions 338 to 792 of the family's 1533-position model. The record is from RNAcentral.
CCUACGGGAGGCAGCAGUGAGGAAUAUUGGUCAAUGGGCUUACGCCUGAACCAGCCAAGUCGCGUGAGGGAAGACUGCCCUAUGGGUGGUAAACCUCUUUUGUCAGGGAGCAACGCCGGCUACGUGUAGCCGGACUGAGAGUACCUGAAGAAAAAGCAUCGGCUAACUCCGUGCCAGCAGCCGCGGUAAUACGGAGGAUGCGAGCGUGAUCCGGAUGUAUUGGGUUUAAAGGGAGCGUAGGUGGAUUGUUAAGUCAGUUGUGAAAGUUUGCGGCUCAACCGUAAAAUUGCAGUUGAAACUGGCAGGCUUGAGGACAGUAGAGGUGGGCGGAAUUCGUGGUGUAGCGGUGAAAUGCUUAGAUAUCACGAAGAACUCCGAUUGCGAAGGCAGCUCACUGGACUGCAACUGACACUGAGGCUCGAAAGUGUGGGUAUCAAACAGGAUUAGAUACCCUUGUC